This 497-nucleotide ribosomal RNA is filed under the name uncultured bacterium. RNAcentral's name for it is "partial 16S ribosomal RNA". It matches the Rfam family "Bacterial small subunit ribosomal RNA", at positions 28 to 507 of the family's 1533-position model. The record is from RNAcentral.
GAUGAACGCUGGCGGCGUGCCUAAUACAUGCAAGUCGAGCGAACAGACGAGGAGCUUGCUCCUCUGACGUUAGCGGCGGACGGGUGAGUAACACGUGGAUAACCUACCUAUAAGACUGGGAUAACUUCGGGAAACCGGAGCUAAUACCGGAUAAUAUAUUGAACCGCAUGGUUCAAUAGUGAAAGACGGUUUUGCUGUCACUUAUAGAUGGAUCCGCGCCGCAUUAGCUAGUUGGUAAGGUAACGGCUUACCAAGGCGACGAUGCGUAGCCGACCUGAGAGGGUGAUCGGCCACACUGGAACUGAGACACGGUCCAGACUCCUACGGGAGGCAGCAGUAGGGAAUCUUCCGCAAUGGGCGAAGGCCUGACGGAGCAACGCCGCGUGAGUGAUGAAGGUCUUCGGAUCGUAAAACUCUGUUAUUAGGGAAGAACAAAUGUGUAAGUAACUAUGCACGUCUUGACGGUACCUAAUCAGAAAGCCACGGCUAACUGCGUG